This 303-nucleotide ribosomal RNA is filed under the name uncultured bacterium. RNAcentral describes it as "partial 16S ribosomal RNA". It matches the Rfam family "Bacterial small subunit ribosomal RNA", at positions 507 to 807 of the family's 1533-position model. The record is from RNAcentral.
AGCAGUCGCCACGGUAAUACGGAGGAUCCAAGCGUUAUCCGGAAUCAUUGGGUUUAAAGGGUCCGUAGGCGGUCUUGUAAGUCAGUGGUGAAAGCCCAUCGCUCAACGGUGGAACGGCCAUUGAUACUGCAGGACUUGAAUUAUUGGGAAGUAACUAGAAUAUGUAGUGUAGCGGUGAAAUGCUUAGAGAUUACAUGGAAUACCAAUUGCGAAGGCAGGUUACUACCAAUUGAUUGACGCUGAUGGACGAAAGCGUGGGUAGCGAACAGGAUUAGAUACCCGCGUAGUCCCUGUCUCUUAUAC